Molecule: transfer RNA, 59 nt
Filed under: Paracoccaceae bacterium
Lineage: Bacteria; Pseudomonadati; Pseudomonadota; Alphaproteobacteria; Rhodobacterales; Paracoccaceae
Description: Rhodobacteraceae bacterium (freshwater metagenome) tRNA-Gly
Rfam family: tRNA
About the family: Transfer RNA (tRNA) molecules are approximately 80 nucleotides in length.
Source: RNAcentral
GUAGCUCAGGGGUAGAGCGUUACCUUGCCAAGGUAAAUGUCGUGAGUUCGAAUCUCAUC